Molecule: long non-coding RNA, 845 nt
Organism: Leptinotarsa decemlineata (Colorado potato beetle)
Lineage: Eukaryota; Metazoa; Arthropoda; Insecta; Coleoptera; Chrysomelidae
Source: RefSeq, a predicted model, not a curated record
UGACCUUGUGACCCGAGACCCAAAAAGAUGAUUGCAGUGAAUUCUUGUGAUUUACAAACUGGAAAUAUGCAAGUCUCACGUUGUUUUGCAAACGCGUUAAGAAAUGUGAGAUUAUUUAAGUUAUCAAAAUGACCGACAGGAAUUACUACAGUGAGGAAGAUCCUUUUUCAUACAGGGAAUCUGAUUACAGUAGAAAUAUGGUGGAUUUAUGCAACUAGUCAGACAGACUAGACAGAUUUUUUUAAACAGACAGUCUUUAGUCGUGAGUCACAAAAAAUUGUAAGCAGUUGAUCAUCAAUUUUCAGUGGCAACAUUUUCAAUAGUAAGUAUUAAAUGAAAAACAUGAAUUCCUAACUUUGAACUUGUGACGUUCGACUCGGAACUGGUGCAUGAAUCCCUUAUUCGCCUUGUAUCUUAUUAUGAGUUGUAUAACAGUACCUACUUUCAUAUAAGAACUGUUGCUUUUGAAAGUAAAACUGCUUGUCAGCAUGAUAAAUUGAUAUUUUUUCUUGAUGUCUUGAAAUCAUUAGAAAACAAACCACACUUUUGCAUUGGUUUUAAAUAUCUGCUCAACUUGAGGGUGUUUAUAUUUUAUCUUUCGGGUUUUCUAUCAAUCUGUUUAAGUUCUACUGAUAAAAAGAGAUGCCAGUUCGUAUAUCUUAAUUGUAUUGAAUAAUUAACUGUGAUUGAAGUGAUGUAAUGUAUUUGUAUACACAGGGAAUGUAUACCUAUAUCUACCAUAUAUUUUGAUGUAAUAUUAAUUUUAUGAUGUGUCAAUAAGAAUUUGGUUCUUUUGACAAUGAAGUAUACAAUCAUUGAUUGAUUAAAUGAUGUUCCAUGUUCCA